ACAUGCCUACGGGGGGCAGCAGUGGGGGAUAUUGCACAAUGGAGGAAACUCUGAUGCAGCGACGCCGCGUGAGGGAUGAAGGUCUUCGGAUCGUAAACCUCUGUCAGCAGGGAAGAACGGUCACUGUGCUAAUCAGCAGUGAAUUGACGGUACCUGCAAAGGAAGCCACGGCUAACUACGUGCCAGCAGCCGCGGUAAUACGUAGGUGGCAAGCGUUAUCCGGAUUUAUUGGGUGUAAAGGGCGUGUAGGCGGGAGCGCAAGUCAGAUGUGAAAACUCAGGGCUCAACCCUGAGCCUGCAUUUGA
This 305-nucleotide ribosomal RNA is filed under the name uncultured bacterium. Its description in RNAcentral is "bacterial SSU rRNA". It matches the Rfam family "Bacterial small subunit ribosomal RNA", at positions 333 to 630 of the family's 1533-position model. The record is from RNAcentral.